UACGGAGGGUCCAAGCGUUAUCCGGAAUCAUUGGGUUUAAAGGGUCCGUAGGCGGUUUUGUAAGUCAGUGGUGAAAGCCCAUCGCUCAACGGUGGAACGGCCAUUGAUACUGCAAGACUUGAAUUAUUAGGAAGUAACUAGAAUAUGUAGUGUAGCGGUGAAAUGCUUAGAGAUUACAUGGAAUACCAAUUGCGAAGGCAGGUUACUACUAAUAUAUUGACGCUGAUGGACGAAAGCGUGGGUAGCGACCAGG
RNAcentral lists this ribosomal RNA (253 nucleotides) under uncultured bacterium. RNAcentral's name for it is "partial 16S ribosomal RNA". It matches the Rfam family "Bacterial small subunit ribosomal RNA", at positions 524 to 776 of the family's 1533-position model. The record is from RNAcentral.